RNAcentral lists this ribosomal RNA (518 nucleotides) under Stylaria sp. CAK248. RNAcentral's name for it is "SSU rRNA". It matches the Rfam family "Eukaryotic small subunit ribosomal RNA", at positions 622 to 1144 of the family's 1831-position model. Lineage: Eukaryota; Metazoa; Annelida; Clitellata; Tubificida; Naididae. The record is from RNAcentral.
AAAAGCUCGUAGUUGGAUCUCGGGUCCAGGCUCGCGGUUCGCCUCGCGGCGAUUACUGCCCGUCCUGACCUACCUCCCGGUUUUCCCUUGGUGCUCUUCGUUGAGUGCUUCGGGUGGCCGGAACGUUUACUUUGAAAAAAUUAGAGUGCUCAAAGCAGGCGGACUGCCUGAAUAAUCGCGCAUGGAAUAAUGGAAUAGGACCUCGGUUCUAUUUUGUUGGUUUUCGGAACUCGAGGUAAUGAUUAAAAGGGACAGACGGGGGCAUUCGUAUUACGGUGUUAGAGGUGAAAUUCUUGGAUCGCCGUAAGACGAACUACUGCGAAAGCAUUUGCCAAGAAUGUUUUCAUUAAUCAAGAACGAAAGUCAGAGGUUCGAAGACGAUCAGAUACCGUCGUAGUUCUGACCAUAAACGAUGCCAACUGGCGAUCCGCGGGCGUUGAUUAUAUGACCCCGCGGGCAGCCUCCGGGAAACCAAAGUUUUUGGGUUCCGGGGGAAGUAUGGUUGCAAAGCUGAAACU